RNAcentral lists this non-coding RNA (29 nucleotides) under Mus musculus (house mouse). RNAcentral also lists the same sequence under 1 other name. Lineage: Eukaryota; Metazoa; Chordata; Mammalia; Rodentia; Muridae. The record is from RNAcentral.
UAGUUAUAGCAGAGUGGAAUCUUCAAAAG